AUUGAACGCUGGCGGCAGGCUUAACACAUGCAAGUCGAACGAUGAAGAUAUAGCUUGCUAUAUCGGAUUAGUGGCGGACGGGUGAGUAACACUUAGGAAUCUACCUUUUAGCGGGGGAUAGCUCGGGGAAACUCGAAUUAAUACCGCAUAAUUUCUACGGAAUAAAGAGGGCUUUUAGCUCUCACUAGAAGAUGAGCCUAAGUAAGAUUAGCUAGUUGGUGGGGUAAAAGCCUACCAAGGCGACGAUCUUUAGCUGGUCUGAGAGGAUGAUCAGCCACACUGGGACUGAGACACGGCCCAGACUCCUACGGGAGGCAGCAGUGGGGAAUAUUGGACAAUGGGGGCAACCCUGAUCCAGCCAUGCCGCGUGUGUGAAGAAGGCCUUUUGGUUGUAAAGCACUUUAGGCAGUGAAGAAGACCUAUUGGUUAAUACCCAAUAGCGAUGACAUUAACUGUAGAAUAAGCACCGGCUAACUCUGUGCCAGCAGCCGCGGUAAUACAGAGGGUGCAAGCGUUAAUCGGAAUUACUGGGCGUAAAGCGAGCGUAGGUGGUUAAAUAAGUCAGAUGUGAAAGCCCUGGGCUCAACCUGGGAACGGCAUCUGAAACUAUUUAACUAGAGUAGGUGAGAGGGAAGUAGAAUUUCAGGUGUAGCGGUGAAAUGCGUAGAGAUCUGAAGGAAUACCGAUGGCGAAGGCAGCUUCCUGGCAUCAUACUGACACUGAGGCUCGAAAGCGUGGGUAGCAAACAGG
RNAcentral lists this ribosomal RNA (750 nucleotides) under uncultured bacterium. RNAcentral describes it as "bacterial SSU rRNA". It matches the Rfam family "Bacterial small subunit ribosomal RNA", at positions 28 to 776 of the family's 1533-position model. The record is from RNAcentral.